Molecule: transfer RNA, 74 nt
Filed under: Chlamydiales bacterium
Lineage: Bacteria; Pseudomonadati; Chlamydiota; Chlamydiia; Chlamydiales
Description: tRNA-Met
Rfam family: tRNA
About the family: Transfer RNA (tRNA) molecules are approximately 80 nucleotides in length. Their secondary structure includes four short double-helical elements and three loops (D, anti-codon, and T loops).
Source: RNAcentral
GGCGGUAUAGCUCAGCUGGUUAGAGCAACGGAAUCAUAAUCCGUGUGUCGCUGGUUCGAAUCCGGCUGCCGCUA